This 358-nucleotide ribosomal RNA is filed under the name uncultured bacterium. Its description in RNAcentral is "bacterial SSU rRNA". It matches the Rfam family "Bacterial small subunit ribosomal RNA", at positions 29 to 414 of the family's 1533-position model. The record is from RNAcentral.
AACGAACGCUGGCGGCAUGCCUAACACAUGCAAGUCGAACGAAGGCUUCGGCCUUAGUGGCGCACGGGUGCGUAACGCGUGGGAACCUGCCCCUCGGUUCGGAAUAACAGUUAGAAAUGACUGCUAAUACCGGAUGAUGACUUCGGUCCAAAGAUUUAUCGCCGAGGGAUGGGCCCGCGUAGGAUUAGCUAGUUGGUGGGGUAAAGGCCUACCAAGGCGACGAUCCUUAGCUGGUCUGAGAGGAUGAUCAGCCACACUGGGACUGAGACACGGCCCAGACUCCUACGGGAGGCAGCAGUGGGGAAUAUUGGACAAUGGCGAAAGACCUGAUCCAGCAAUGCCGCGUGAGUGAUGAAGG